ACGCUCGACACCUACGGGAGGCAGCGGUGGGGAAUAUUGCACAAUGGGGGAAACCCGUGAUGCAGCAACGCCGCGUGAGUGAAGAAGUAUUUCGGUAUGUAAAGCUCUAUCAGCAGGGAAGAUAAUGACGGUACCUGACUAAGAAGCUCCGGCUAAAUACGUGCCAACAGCCGCGGUAAUCUGAGCGGGCUGGCAAGGC
RNAcentral lists this ribosomal RNA (199 nucleotides) under uncultured bacterium. Its description in RNAcentral is "partial 16S ribosomal RNA". It matches the Rfam family "Bacterial small subunit ribosomal RNA", at positions 328 to 539 of the family's 1533-position model. The record is from RNAcentral.